UACGGAGGGGGCUAGCGUUGUUCGGAAUUACUGGGCGUAAAGCGCGCGCAGGCGGUCCUUCAAGUCAGAGGUGGAAGCCCAGAGCUCAACUCUGGAACGGCCUUUGAGACUAGAGGACUUGGGUACGGGAGAGGUGAGUGGAAUUCCGAGUGUAGAGGUGAAAUUCGUAGAUAUUCGGAAGAACACCAGUGGCGAAGGCGGCUCACUGGCCCGUUACCGACGCUCAGGCGCGACAGCGUGGGGAGCAAACAGG
This 253-nucleotide ribosomal RNA is filed under the name uncultured bacterium. RNAcentral's name for it is "partial 16S ribosomal RNA". It matches the Rfam family "Bacterial small subunit ribosomal RNA", at positions 524 to 776 of the family's 1533-position model. The record is from RNAcentral.